This 436-nucleotide ribosomal RNA is filed under the name uncultured Planctomycetota bacterium. RNAcentral describes it as "bacterial SSU rRNA". It matches the Rfam family "Bacterial small subunit ribosomal RNA", at positions 383 to 810 of the family's 1533-position model. Lineage: Bacteria; Pseudomonadati; Planctomycetota. The record is from RNAcentral.
GUGACGAAGCGACGCCGCGUGGGUGAGGAAGGCCUUCGGGUUGUAAAGCCCUGUCAGGAGUUAAGAAAUGUAAGUGCGCUAAUAUCGCAUUUAUUUGACGAAGGCUCCAAAGGAAGUCACGGCUAACUCUGUGCCAGCAGCCGCGGUAAUACAGAGGUGCAAGCGUUGUUCGGAAUUAUUGGGCGUAAAGAGCACGUAGGUGGGUUUGUAAGUCAGAUGUGAAAGCCUUCUGUUCAACGGAAGAAUUGCAUCUGAAACUGCGAGUCUUGAGUGUAGGAGGGGAGAAUGGAACUUCUGGUGGAGCGGUGAAAUGCGUAGAUAUCAGAAGGAACGCCGGCGGCGAAAGCGAUUCUCUGGCCUAUUACUGACACUCAGUGUGCGAAAGCUAGGGGAGCAAACGGGAUUAGAUACCCCGGUAGUCCUAGCCGUAAACGAU